Molecule: ribosomal RNA, 497 nt
Filed under: uncultured bacterium
Lineage: Bacteria
Description: partial 16S ribosomal RNA
Rfam family: Bacterial small subunit ribosomal RNA
Source: RNAcentral
GACGAACGCUGGCGGCGUGCCUAAUACAUGCAAGUUGAGCGAUGAAGCUUGGUGCUUGCACCAAUUUGAAGAGCAGCGAACGGGUGAGUAACGCGUGGGGAAUCUGCCUUUGAGCGGGGGACAACAUUUGGAAACGAAUGCUAAUACCGCAUAAUAACUUUAAACAUAAGUUUUAAGUUUGAAAGAUGCAAUUGCAUCACUCAAAGAUGAUCCCGCGUUGUAUUAGCUAGUUGGUGAGGUAAAGGCUCACCAAGGCGAUGAUACAUAGCCGACCUGAGAGGGUGAUCGGCCACAUUGGGACUGAGACACGGCCCAAACUCCUACGGGAGGCAGCAGUAGGGAAUCUUCGGCAAUGGACGAAAGUCUGACCGAGCAACGCCGCGUGAGUGAAGAAGGGUUUCGGAUCGUAAAACUCUGUUGGUAGAGAAGAGCGUUGGUGAGAGUGGAAAGCUCAUCAAGUGACGGUAACUACCCAGAAAGGGACGGCUAACUACGUG